This 109-nucleotide ribosomal RNA is filed under the name uncultured bacterium. RNAcentral's name for it is "partial 16S ribosomal RNA". It matches the Rfam family "Bacterial small subunit ribosomal RNA", at positions 1373 to 1482 of the family's 1533-position model. The record is from RNAcentral.
CCCGGGCCUUGUACACACCGCCCGUCGCACCAUGGGAGUGGGUUGUACCAGAAGCAGGUAGUUUAACCGAAAGGGGACGUCUGCCACGGUAUGGUUCAUGACUGGGGUG